CCCCCCCCCCCCCCCACACACACACAUAGGCCGUUGAGCCACGCGGAAUGAUGAUGGAUGGAUGAUAUGAGAAGUGAGAAAAGCCGACAGAGAAAUGGUAAAGAAGUGACAACUCGUUGUGAAGAAUAAGCGCCUCGUUCUUGCCUUACGCUAAAUUCAACAUUGAGAAGUCGAAAAAAAAUAUGCUUGUGACUUGUGUCUAUUUGCAGGCACAUGACCCAAACAUUAUUAAAAUGUAGAGAUAUCUAGAUCUAGAUCUAUUCUAGAGCAUCGUAGGCUGAAGGCUACACUGUGCAACAUUGUGUUAGGCCUAAUGGGUUAAAAUUGGAAACAUCAAGAUUCCUGACAAAAAAAGCAAACACCCCCCUUUAGGUUUUCCCCUUAUGAUGCAGUAUUAGCCCAAAGGUUUUCUCCUGAUGAUGCAGUAUUAGCCCAAAACACGGCCAAUAAAGACAAGAACAAAUCUGAA
Long non-coding RNA from Physella acuta, 469 nucleotides. RefSeq lists it as uncharacterized. The record is from RefSeq and is a predicted model, not a curated record. NCBI's taxonomy places the organism in Eukaryota, Metazoa, Mollusca, Gastropoda, Physidae.